CAGUCGCCGCGGUAAAACGGAGGAUGCAAGCGUUAAUCGGAAUUACUGGGCGUAAAGCGCACGCAGGCGGUCUGACAAGUUAGAUGUGAAAUCCCCGGGCUUAACCUGGGAACUGCAUUUGAAACUGUCAGGCUGGAGUCUUGUAGAGGGGGGUGGAAUUCCAGGUGUAGCGGUGAAAUGCGUAGAGAUCUGGAGGAAUACCGGUGGCGAAGGCGGCCCCCUGGACAAAGACUGACGCUCAGGUGCGAAAGCGUGGGGAGCAAACAGGAUUAGAUACCCCAGUAGUCCCUGUCUCUUAUAC
This 301-nucleotide ribosomal RNA is filed under the name uncultured bacterium. RNAcentral's name for it is "partial 16S ribosomal RNA". It matches the Rfam family "Bacterial small subunit ribosomal RNA", at positions 509 to 807 of the family's 1533-position model. The record is from RNAcentral.